UAUGGAUUCAGAAUUGUCUAGGAACAUUGCUGAAGACAUGUUCAGAUAAGUACCUAAUAAGGCAGAUGAGAUUAGAUUAUUUAUAUUAUACUGUUAUGUAGUUUUUGAUUUUCCUAACUAGGUUAUAAACUUCCGUGUUCAAACAGCAUGUCAUCUUGCUUUCGUGUUAUCCUUAUAAUCACAAGGUUCAUUUUUAUUUUUUACUUGUAUAACAAUACACAGUAAUGAACAUUUCUUUUAUUAUAACAGAUAAACUAUUCCACUUUCCAACUCACCCUUUUUCUUGCUAUUCCUAAGAACAUUUCCUUAAACCUCAGACUUUGUUUUCCUCUUAUUAUUCCUUCUUCCUUCUUUACACACUUUGUGUUCAUGAGAUAGAUCCUCUCUAAUUUGCCUCAACCAAAUCUUACCACAUGAUUUCUGAAUGAUACACAGAGCAUCUUACUUUCUCCACAUCCUCAGGCUUUCUCACUAUCCAGGAAUGCAUUUUCCCCUCCCUGUGCAUUCUAUUCACCUCUUACCCAACUCAGGACCUAACCCCAGUGGUUCCCAUUUAUAAUCUUUUUUAAAAAUAUUUUAGUUGUAAAUGGACACAAUAUCUUUUUAUGUAAGUAUUUUUUAUGGUGCUGAGGAUAGAACUGGUGCCUCACACCUAUGAGGCAAUCCCUCUACCACUAAGCUACAGCCCCAGC
Molecule: long non-coding RNA, 692 nt
Filed under: Marmota monax (woodchuck)
Lineage: Eukaryota; Metazoa; Chordata; Mammalia; Rodentia; Sciuridae
Source: RNAcentral